This 613-nucleotide ribosomal RNA is filed under the name uncultured Oceanobacillus sp. RNAcentral's name for it is "bacterial SSU rRNA". It matches the Rfam family "Bacterial small subunit ribosomal RNA", at positions 8 to 590 of the family's 1533-position model. Lineage: Bacteria; Bacillati; Bacillota; Bacilli; Caryophanales; Bacillaceae. The record is from RNAcentral.
AGAGUUUGAUCAUGGCUCAGGACGAACGCUGGCGGCGUGCCUAAUACAUGCAAGUCGAGCGCGGGAAGCAAACUGACCCCUUCGGGGUGAUGUUUGUGGAACGAGCGGCGGACGGGUGAGUAACACGUGGGCAACCUGCCUGUAAGACUGGGAUAACUCGCGGAAACGUGAGCUAAUACCGGAUAACACUUUUCGCUGCAUGGCGAGAAGGUGAAAGGCGGCGUAAGCUGUCACUUGCAGAUGGGCCCGCGGCGCAUUAGCUAGUUGGUGAGGUAAAGGCUCACCAAGGCAACGAUGCGUAGCCGACCUGAGAGGGUGAUCGGCCACACUGGGACUGAGACACGGCCCAGACUCCUACGGGAGGCAGCAGUAGGGAAUCUUCCGCAAUGGACGAAAGUCUGACGGAGCAACGCCGCGUGAGUGAAAAAGGUUUUCGGAUCGUAAAACUCUGUUGUUAGGGAAGAACAAGUGUGAGAGUAACUGCUCACACCUUGACGGUACCUAACCAGAAAGCCACGGCUAACUACGUGCCAGCAGCCGCGGUAAUACGUAGGUGGCAAGCGUUGUCCGGAUUUAUUGGGCGUAAAGCGCUCGCAGGCGGUCUUUUAAGUCU